AUACUUACCUGACAGGGGAGAGACCAUGACUACAAAGGUCAAUUUCCCAGGGCGAGGCUUAUCCACUGCAAGCAGGAUGUACUGACCCCUGUGAUUUUCCCCCAAAGUGGGAAAUUCGACUGCAAAAUUUGUGGUAAUGUGGGGCUGUAUUCAAGCUCUCCCCUG
Molecule: small nuclear RNA, 165 nt
Organism: Sorex fumeus (smoky shrew)
Lineage: Eukaryota; Metazoa; Chordata; Mammalia; Eulipotyphla; Soricidae
Product: U1 spliceosomal RNA
Exons: 1
Source: RefSeq, a predicted model, not a curated record